GAUGAACGCUGGCGGCGUGCUUAACACAUGCAAGUCGAACGAAGCACUUUAUUUGAUUUCCUUCGGGACUGAUUAUUUUGUGACUGAGUGGCGGACGGGUGAGUAACGCGUGGGUAACCUGCCUUGUACAGGGGGAUAACAGUUGGAAACGGCUGCUAAUACCGCAUAAGCGCACGGCAUCGCAUGAUGCAGUGUGAAAAACUCCGGUGGUAUAAGAUGGACCCGCGUUGGAUUAGCUAGUCGGUGAGGUAACGGCCCACCAAGGCGACGAUCCAUAGCCGACCUGAGAGGGUGACCGGCCACAUUGGGACUGAGACACGGCCCAAACUCCUACGGGAGGCAGCAGUGGGGAAUAUUGCACAAUGGGCGAAAGCCUGAUGCAGCGACGCCGCGUGAGCGAAGAAGUAUUUCGGUAUGUAAAGCUCUAUCAGCAGGGAAGAUAAUGACGGUACCUGACUAAGAAGCACCGGCUAAAUACGUG
This 481-nucleotide ribosomal RNA is filed under the name uncultured bacterium. Its description in RNAcentral is "partial 16S ribosomal RNA". It matches the Rfam family "Bacterial small subunit ribosomal RNA", at positions 28 to 507 of the family's 1533-position model. The record is from RNAcentral.